RNAcentral lists this ribosomal RNA (253 nucleotides) under uncultured bacterium. RNAcentral's name for it is "partial 16S ribosomal RNA". It matches the Rfam family "Bacterial small subunit ribosomal RNA", at positions 524 to 776 of the family's 1533-position model. The record is from RNAcentral.
UACGAACCGUCCAAACGUUACUCGGAAUCACUGGGCUUAAAGGGUGCGUAGGCGGCCUUGUAAGUUGGGUGUGAAAUACCUCGGCUCAACCGAGGAAUUGCGCUCAAAACUGCAAGGCUUGAGGGAGAUAGAGGUGAGCGGAACUUAGGGUGGAGCGGUGAAAUGCGUUGAUAUCCUAAGGAACACCGGUGGCGAAAGCGGCUCACUGGGUCUCUUCUGACGCUGAGGCACGAAAGCUAGGGGAGCGAAGAGG